UACGUAGGGUGCGAGCGUUAAUCGGAAUUACUGGGCGUAAAGGGUGCGCAGGCGGCGUCGCAAGUCAGGCGUGAAAUCCCCGGGCUUAACCUGGGAACUGCACUUGAAAUUACGAUGCUGGAGUAUGGCAGAGGGAGGUGGAAUUCCACGUGUAGCGGUGAAAUGCGUAGAGAUGUGGAGGAACACCGAUGGCGAAGGCAGCCUCCUGGGCCAAUACUGACGCUCAUGCACGAAAGCGUGGGGAGCAAACAGG
This 253-nucleotide ribosomal RNA is filed under the name uncultured bacterium. RNAcentral describes it as "partial 16S ribosomal RNA". It matches the Rfam family "Bacterial small subunit ribosomal RNA", at positions 524 to 776 of the family's 1533-position model. The record is from RNAcentral.